UAAAGGCUUGGUCCUGACUUUACCAUCAGCUUUAAACCAAUUUACACAUGCAAGUCUCCGCAAACCCGUGAGAAUGCCCUCAAUCCCCUGCCCGGGGACGAGGAGCACGCAUCAGGCACAAAUUUUAGCCCAAGACGCCUUGCCAUGCCACACCCCCAAGGGAACUCAGCAGUGAUAAAUAUUAAGCCAUAAGUGAAAGCUUGACUUAUUUAGAGAUAAGAAGGGCCGGUAAAACUCGUGCCAGCCACCGCGGUUAUACGAGAGGCCCUAUUUGAUGGACACGGCGUAAAGGGUGGUUAAGGUCCAAAAUAUAUAAAGCCAAAAGACCUCUUGUCUGUCAUACGCCCCUGAGUGUCUGAAGUCCACACACGAGAGUAGCUUUAAUAUUAGUCUACCUGACCCCACGAAAGCUGAGAAACAAACGGGGAUUAGAUACCCCACUAUGCUCAGCCAUAAACUUAGACGUUAUUUCACAAUUAAACGUCCGCCAGGGUACUACGAGCAUUAGCUUAAAACCCAAAGGACUUGGCGGUGCCUUAGACCCCCCUAGAGGAGCCUGUUCUAGAACCGAUAACCCCCGUUAAACCUCACCACUUCUGGCCAACCCCGCCUAUAUACCGCCGUCGUCAGCUUACCCUGUGAAGGACUGAUAGUAAGCAAAGUGAAUAUAAUUCAAAACGUCAGGUCGAGGUGUAGCGAACGAAGUGGGAAGAAAUGGGCUACAUUUUCUUUAAUAAGAAUAUCACGAACAACACUAUGAAAACUUAGUGCUCGAAGGAGGAUUUAGUAGUAAAAAGGAAAUAGAGUGUCCUUUUGAACCCGGCUCUGAGGCGCGUACACACCGCCCGUCACUCUCCCCGCUAAUAGCAACAAACGUUACUAACAUUUAAGCACAAAUAAGGGGAGGCAAGUCGUAACAUGGUAAGUGUACCGGAAGGUGCACUUGGAUCAAAUC
Molecule: non-coding RNA, 955 nt
Filed under: Cobitis tetralineata
Lineage: Eukaryota; Metazoa; Chordata; Actinopteri; Cypriniformes; Cobitidae
Description: partial 12S ribosomal RNA
Rfam family: Bacterial small subunit ribosomal RNA
Source: RNAcentral